GAUGAACGCUAGCGACAGGCUUAACACAUGCAAGUCGAGGGGCAGCAUAAAAGUAGCAAUACUUUGGUGGCGACCGGCGCACGGGUGAGUAACGCGUAUGCAACCUACCUAUCAGAGGGGAAUAACCCGGCGAAAGUCGGACUAAUACCGCAUAAAACAGGGGCACCGCAUGGUGAUAUUUGUUAAAGAAAUUCGCUGAUAGAUGGGCAUGCGUUCCAUUAGGUAGUUGGUGAGGUAACGGCUCACCAAGCCGACGAUGGAUAGGGGAACUGAGAGGUUGGUCCCCCACACUGGUACUGAGACACGGACCAGACUCCUACGGGAGGCAGCAGUGAGGAAUAUUGGUCAAUGGGCGAGAGCCUGAACCAGCCAAGUCGCGUGAAGGAAGAAGGAUCUAUGGUUCGUAAACUUCUUUUGCAGGGGAAUAAAGUGCGGGACGUGUCCUGUUUUGUAUGUACCCUGAGAAUAAGGAUCGGCUAACUCCGUGCCAGCAGCCGCGGU
RNAcentral lists this ribosomal RNA (501 nucleotides) under uncultured bacterium. Its description in RNAcentral is "bacterial SSU rRNA". It matches the Rfam family "Bacterial small subunit ribosomal RNA", at positions 28 to 521 of the family's 1533-position model. The record is from RNAcentral.